Molecule: ribosomal RNA, 253 nt
Filed under: uncultured bacterium
Lineage: Bacteria
Description: partial 16S ribosomal RNA
Rfam family: Bacterial small subunit ribosomal RNA
Source: RNAcentral
UACAGAGGUCUCAAGCGUUGUUCGGAUUCAUUGGGCGUAAAGGGUGCGUAGGCGGCGAGGUAAGUCGGAUGCGAAAUCCCGGGGCUCAACCCUGGAACUGCAUUCGAUACUGCCUUGCUCGAGGACUCGAGAGGAGAUUGGAAUUCACGGUGUAGCAGUGAAAUGCGUAGAUAUCGUGAGGAAGACCAGUGGCGAAGGCGGAUCUCUGGAGAGUUCCUGACGCUGAGGCACGAAGGCCAGGGGAGCAAACAGG